GGGGGCGACCUGGUUUCGACGUGGGUUACAAAACCUGAGGUGCAUGCCGAGGAUACAGAUUCCCUCGUAAAUCCAUCUGUACAAUCAUAGUUGCCAACGACGACAACUACGCACUCGCCGCUUAAAAACCGGUAGAAUGCCGUCUGACUGGAGCCGUGCCUGUGCGUCCAGAGUCCUUUAUACCUUCGGGUAGACGGGACAUUCAGGCGUCGAUUCUCACAGGAUCGCGAUGAAGCUCGUCCGGGGCAGAUUCGUUAAACUCCAACCGGAAUCGCUGUUGGUCUUCCCUGCCCGUCGGGUAGCCGGCAGUUAAAUACAAAGGCGCGGAUAAGCAUGUAGAGCCGAUGGCGGAGGACCUGCGGACGCGAGUUCGAUUCUCGCCGCCUCCACCA
RNAcentral lists this transfer-messenger RNA (392 nucleotides) under Thiohalobacter thiocyanaticus. RNAcentral's name for it is "gamma proteobacterium HRh1 transfer-messenger RNA". It matches the Rfam family "transfer-messenger RNA". From Rfam's summary of the family: Bacterial tmRNA, also known as 10Sa RNA or SsrA, is named for its dual tRNA and mRNA-like properties. Its role is to liberate the mRNA from a stalled ribosome. RNAcentral also lists the same sequence under 2 other names. The record is from Rfam by way of RNAcentral. Lineage: Bacteria; Pseudomonadati; Pseudomonadota; Gammaproteobacteria; Thiohalobacterales; Thiohalobacteraceae.